This 216-nucleotide unclassified non-coding RNA is filed under the name uncultured fungus. Its description in RNAcentral is "sequence contains ITS1". The record is from RNAcentral. Lineage: Eukaryota; Fungi.
GUUUAUAAUUUUGUACAUUGGUACGGUUGACAUUCUGUUACAUUCGAGUGUGGAAAAUUGCCUCGGAGGUCACGUUGUAUCCAGCCGUGUUCCAAGUAAGAUGUUCACAGGUGUGUGGAUUUGCGCCCCGAGUGUUCACAUGCAUGUUACUGCCAGCACAACUUGAGACGACUUGAAGUUUCAUUAAUGAUCCUUCCGCAGGUUCACCUACGGAAA